AGCAGCCGCGGUAAUUCCAGCUCCAAUAGCGUAUAUUAAAGUUGUUGCAGUUAAAAGCUCGUAGUUGAAUUUCGGGAUCAAAUUGUCGGUCGUGCCUCGGUACGUACUGGUAUUAUUGGUUCCUCCCUUCUGACGAACCACGAUGUCAUUAACUUGGUGUCAUGGGAAAUCAGGACUGUUACUUUGAAAAAAUUAGAGUGUUUAAAGUAGGCUCGCGCUUGAAUACAUUAGCAUGGAAUAAUGAAAUAGGACGUUUGAUUCUAUUUUGUUGGUUUCUAGGAUCGACGUAAUGAUUAAUAGGGAUAGUUGGGGGCAUUAGUAUUCAAUUGUCAGAGGUGAAAUUCUUGGAUUUAUUGAAGACUAACUACUGCGAAAGCAUUUGCCAAGGAUGUUUUCAUUAAUCAAGAACGAAAGUUAGGGGAUCGAAGACGAUCAGAUACCGUCGUAGUCUUAACCAUAAACUAUGCCGACUAGGGAUCGGAUGAUGUUAAUUUUUUAAUGACUCAUUCGGCGCCUUACG
RNAcentral lists this ribosomal RNA (520 nucleotides) under uncultured Glomus. RNAcentral describes it as "SSU rRNA". It matches the Rfam family "Eukaryotic small subunit ribosomal RNA", at positions 569 to 1092 of the family's 1831-position model. Lineage: Eukaryota; Fungi; Glomeromycota; Glomeromycetes; Glomerales; Glomeraceae. The record is from RNAcentral.